Molecule: ribosomal RNA, 465 nt
Filed under: uncultured bacterium
Lineage: Bacteria
Description: bacterial SSU rRNA
Rfam family: Bacterial small subunit ribosomal RNA
Source: RNAcentral
GAUGAACGCUGGCGGCGUGCCUAACACAUGCAAGUCGAACGAAGCGCUUGUAUUUGAUUCUUCGGAUGAAGAUACUUGUGACUGAGUGGCGGACGGGUGAGUAACGCGUGGGUAACCUGCCUCAUACAGGGGGAUAACAGUUAGAAAUGGCUGCUAAUACCGCAUAAGCACACAGCAUCGCAUGAUGCGGUGUGAAAAACUCCGGUGGUAUGAGAUGGACCCGCGUCUGAUUAGCUAGUUGGUGGGGUAACGGCCUACCAAGGCGACGAUCAGUAGCCGACCUGAGAGGGUGACCGGCCACAUUGGGACUGAGACACGGCCCAAACUCCUACGGGAGGCAGCAGUGGGGAAUAUUGCACAAUGGGGGAAACCCUGAUGCAGCGACGCCGCGUGAGCGAAGAAGUAUUUCGGUAUGUAAAGCUCUAUCAGCAGGGAAGAAAACGACGGUACCUGACUAAGAAGCCC